CACGCAGGCGGUCUGUCAAGUCGGAUGUGAAAUCCCCGGGCUCAACCUGGGAACUGCAUUCGAAACUGGCAGGCUUGAGUCUUGUAGAGGGGGGUAGAAUUCCAGGUGUAGCGGUGAAAUGCGUAGAGAUCUGGAGGAAUACCGGUGGCGAAGGCGGCCCCCUGGACAAAGACUGACGCUCAGGUGCGAAAGCGUGGGGAGCAAACAGGAUUAGAUACCCUGGUAGUCCACGCCGUAAACGAUGUCUACUUGGAGGUUGUGCCCUUGAGGCGUGGCUUCCGGAGCUAACGCGUUAAGUAGACCGCCUGGGGAGUACGGCCGCAAGGUUAAAACUCAAAUGAAUUGACGGGGGCCCGCACAAGCGGUGGAGCAUGUGGUUUAAUUCGAUGCAACGCGAAGAACCUUACCUGGUCUUGACAUCCACGGAAGAAUUCAGAGAUGGAUUUGUGCCUUCGGGAACCGUGAGACAGGUGCUGCAUGGCUGUCGUCAGCUCGUGUUGUGAAAUGUUGGGUUAAGUCCCGCAACGAGCGCAACCCUUAUCCUUUGUUGCCAGCGGUCCGGCCGGGAACUCAAAGGAGACUGCCAGUGAUAAACUGGAGGAAGGUGGGGAUGACGUCAAGUCAUCAUGGCCCUUACGACCAGGGCUACACACGUGCUACAAUGGCGCAUACAAAGAGAAGCGACCUCGCGAGAGCAAGCGGACCUCAUAAAGUGCGUCGUAGUCCGGAUUGGAGUCUGCAACUCGACUCCAUGAAGUCGGAAUCGCUAGUAAUCGUGGAUCAGAAUGCCACGGUGAAUACGUUCCCGGGCCUUGUACACACCGCCCGUCACACCAUGGGAGUGGGUUGCAAAAGAAGUAGGUAGCUUAACCUUCGGGAGGGCGCUUACCACUUUGUGAUUCAUGACUGGGGUGAAGUCGUAACAAGGUAACCGUAGGGGAACCUGCGGUUGGAUCACCUCCUUACCUUAAAGAAGC
Molecule: ribosomal RNA, 977 nt
Filed under: Salmonella enterica subsp. enterica serovar Johannesburg
Lineage: Bacteria; Pseudomonadati; Pseudomonadota; Gammaproteobacteria; Enterobacterales; Enterobacteriaceae
Description: bacterial SSU rRNA
Rfam family: Bacterial small subunit ribosomal RNA
Source: RNAcentral